RNAcentral lists this ribosomal RNA (253 nucleotides) under uncultured bacterium. RNAcentral describes it as "partial 16S ribosomal RNA". It matches the Rfam family "Bacterial small subunit ribosomal RNA", at positions 524 to 776 of the family's 1533-position model. The record is from RNAcentral.
UACGUAGGGGGCAAGCGUUGUCCGGAUUUAUUGGGCGUAAAGAGCGUGUAGGCGGCCAGAUAGGUCCGUUGUGAAAACUCGAGGCUCAACCUCGAGACGCCGAUGGAAACCAUCUGGCUAGAGUCCGGAAGAGGAGAGUGGAAUUCCUGGUGUAGCGGUGAAAUGCGCAGAUAUCAGGAAGAACACCCGUGGCUAAGGCGGCUCUCUAGUACGGUACUGACGCUGAGACGCGAAAGCGUGGGGAGCAAACAGG